GAGGGCACAGCUCAGUGGUAGGGCGUGUGCUCAGCACGCACAAGUCCUGGGUUCAAUCCCCAGUCCCACCA
RNAcentral lists this transfer RNA (71 nucleotides) under Camelus bactrianus (Bactrian camel). It matches the Rfam family "tRNA". Rfam says of the family: Transfer RNA (tRNA) molecules are approximately 80 nucleotides in length. Their secondary structure includes four short double-helical elements and three loops (D, anti-codon, and T loops). Lineage: Eukaryota; Metazoa; Chordata; Mammalia; Artiodactyla; Camelidae. The record is from Rfam by way of RNAcentral. RNAcentral also lists the same sequence under 1 other name.